CGAAGGGUGCAAGCGUUACUCGGAAUUACUGGGCGUAAAGCGUGCGUAGGUGGUGAGUUAAGUCUGUCGUGAAAGCCCCGGGCUCAACCUGGGAAUGGCGAUGGAUACUGGCUCGCUAGAGUGCGGUAGAGGAGAGUGGAGUUCCCGGUGUAGCAGUGAAAUGCGUAGAGAUCGGGAGGAACAUCAGUUGCGAAGGCGGCUCUCUGGACCAGCACUGACACUGAGGCACGAAAGCGUGGGGAGCAAACAGGAUUAGAUACCCUGGUAGUCCACGCCCUAAACGAUGCGAACUGGACGUUGGGAGCAAUCAGGCUCUCAGUGUCGAAGCUAACGCGUUAAGUUCGCCGCCUGGGGAGUACGGUCGCAAGACUG
RNAcentral lists this ribosomal RNA (372 nucleotides) under uncultured organism. RNAcentral describes it as "bacterial SSU rRNA". It matches the Rfam family "Bacterial small subunit ribosomal RNA", at positions 526 to 896 of the family's 1533-position model. The record is from RNAcentral.